AGCUUUGCGCAGUGGCAGUAUCGUAGCCAAUGAGGUUUAUCCGAGGCGCGAUUAUUGCUAAUUGAAAGCCUUGCUCAGAUUUAUUUGAAAUCCACUGUAGUCAUGUGCCCCAUAACAUUUUUGUCAAUGAUGGGCCA
Molecule: small nuclear RNA, 137 nt
Organism: Cynocephalus volans (Philippine flying lemur)
Lineage: Eukaryota; Metazoa; Chordata; Mammalia; Dermoptera; Cynocephalidae
Product: U4 spliceosomal RNA
Exons: 1
Source: RefSeq, a predicted model, not a curated record